UUUGCAGGAAGAUGUACUUUUUUUAAGUAGCCUGUUUGAAACCAAAGCAUGUAUUGAGGAACAUAAUAUCCUGAAAGAUGUAUGGUAUAUGGUUUAUUUUCAAGUUGCAGGUACAUUACUCUGCCUGCUGUGAGCCUGAGCUCAUGCGUUGAACUUUAGGCCUGAAAAAAUAUUUCCCUGGAAGCAGAUUCAGUCCCCAAGACAACUCGGCAGGCAGCCUAGUGCAAAAUGUCAUUGAUUUGGGGUGUUAAUCAGAAUGUAUUAUAAAGAUUUUGUUUGGAGCAGCGUUGGAGUUCAUCAGGUUUUCAGAAAUUCUUUGUGCUUUCUAUAAGCAAGCCAGGUUUAUUUAUCCUUCAGUACAUCUUGUGGUAGAGCAUCUUUCUGGGGCCUCGUGCAGCAGCAUCUUUAGUGCAAACCUUCAAGCCUGGGAGUGGCUGACAAAACCACAGAUGAACUUUCGUCAUUGUUUUGGACUGGACCCUGCGGUAUCAAUAAACUAAUAACUUUUCCCAGUCACUUUCUGUCAUCAGUCAGUGAUGCUCUGUGCAAGCAUUUAUUUUGAAUUGCCAGUUCAAGUGUCAUGUCUGUAGUUUCUGUU
Strigops habroptila (Kakapo) is the source of this 598-nucleotide long non-coding RNA. RefSeq lists it as uncharacterized. The transcript is spliced from 2 exons. NCBI's taxonomy places the organism in Eukaryota, Metazoa, Chordata, Aves, Psittaciformes, Psittacidae. The record is from RefSeq and is a predicted model, not a curated record.